This 436-nucleotide long non-coding RNA is filed under the name Lepisosteus oculatus (spotted gar). RNAcentral describes it as "lncRNA (ENSLOCG00000023172.1)". The record is from RNAcentral. Lineage: Eukaryota; Metazoa; Chordata; Actinopteri; Semionotiformes; Lepisosteidae.
GUAAGCCCCUCCACCCAGAGAGACGCACAGCAAGCUGGAAUCUAUCCUUGAAAGCACUCUGCAUGUCAGGACAGGGAACACACAACUGUGCGCACCUUCCAUGGAAAGCUGUUUCAUCAUGUCACCCAGAAAAAGGAAAUAUUUAGAACAGCUUAUCAAUUGAGAAAGCUUGUCUUUGGGGAGCUGAGAAGAAACCAGGCAAAAACCCAUGUGAACACAGUGUGAACAUGCAGACUCCACACAGACAGAUGCCUGAGGCAAGCCUGGGAUUUUGUGCUAUGAGGCUGCUAAAUGCAUAAUGACAAAUGAUAUAAUAACAUGAUAGUUCAGGCCACUGAGCUCCAUCUGCCAUUCAACUUUAAUGGAUUCCUCAAAGGAGACAUCCCUCUCAGCUGCUACCACAAGUACUGCAUUCCUGUGAAGGUAUGAGAUGACU